GCCCUUUCCGUAGGUGAACCUGCGGAAGGAUCA
Molecule: ribosomal RNA, 33 nt
Filed under: Trametes coccinea
Lineage: Eukaryota; Fungi; Basidiomycota; Agaricomycetes; Polyporales; Polyporaceae
Description: partial 18S ribosomal RNA
Source: RNAcentral